This 368-nucleotide ribosomal RNA is filed under the name uncultured Mariprofundus sp. RNAcentral's name for it is "bacterial SSU rRNA". It matches the Rfam family "Bacterial small subunit ribosomal RNA", at positions 114 to 476 of the family's 1533-position model. Lineage: Bacteria; Pseudomonadati; Pseudomonadota; Candidatius Mariprofundia; Mariprofundales; Mariprofundaceae. The record is from RNAcentral.
CGCGUGGAUAUCUGCCUAUUAGUGGGGGACAACUACGGGAAACCGUAGCUAAUACCGCAUAAUCUCUACGGAGGAAAGCAGGGGACCUUUCGGGGCCUUGCGCUGAUAGAUGAGUCCGCGUCUGAUUAGCUAGUUGGUGGGGUAAAGGCCUACCAAGGCGAUGAUCAGUAACUGGUUUGAGAGGAUGAUCAGUCACACUGGAACUGAGACACGGUCCAGACUCCUACGGGAGGCAGCAGUGGGGAAUAUUGCACAAUGGGGGAAACCCUGAUGCAGCGACGCCGCGUGCGGGAAGAAGGCCUUAGGGUUGUAAACCGCUUUCAAUUGGGAAGAAGAGAUGAGUACUAAUAUUACUCUGAUUUGACGGU